GAUGAACGCUGGCGGCGUGCCUAACACAUGCAAGUCGAGCGAUUUCCUUCGGGAAAGAGCGGCGGACGGGUGAGUAACGCGUGGGUAACCUGCCCUGUACACACGGAUAACAUACCGAAAGGUAUGCUAAUACGGGAUAACAUGAGAGAGUCGCAUGGCUUUCUUAUCAAAGCUCCGGCGGUACAGGAUGGACCCGCGUCUGAUUAGCUAGUUGGUAAGGUAACGGCUUACCAAGGCGACGAUCAGUAGCCGACCUGAGAGGGUGAUCGGCCACAUUGGAACUGAGACACGGUCCAAACUCCUACGGGAGGCAGCAGUGGGGAAUAUUGCACAAUGGGCGAAAGCCUGAUGCAGCAACGCCGCGUGAGCGAUGAAGGCCUUCGGGUCGUAAAGCUCUGUCCUCAAGGAAGAUAAUGACGGUACUUGAGGAGGAAGCCCCGGCUAACUACGUGCCAGCCGCCGCCGUAA
Molecule: ribosomal RNA, 468 nt
Filed under: uncultured bacterium
Lineage: Bacteria
Description: partial 16S ribosomal RNA
Rfam family: Bacterial small subunit ribosomal RNA
Source: RNAcentral